Molecule: ribosomal RNA, 395 nt
Filed under: uncultured bacterium
Lineage: Bacteria
Description: partial 16S ribosomal RNA
Rfam family: Bacterial small subunit ribosomal RNA
Source: RNAcentral
AUACGUAGGGUGCAAGCGUUAAUCGGAAUUACUGGGCGUAAAGCGUGCGCAGGUGGUUUUGUAAGACAGUGGUGAAAUCCCCGGGCUCAACCUGGGAACUGCCAUUGUGACUGCAAGGCUGGAGUGCGGCAGAGGGGGAUGGAAUUCCGCGUGUAGCAGUGAAAUGCGUAGAUAUGCGGAGGAACACCGAUGGCGAAGGCAAUCCCCUGGGCCUGCACUGACGCUCAUGCACGAAAGCGUGGGGAGCAAACAGGAUUAGAUACCCUGGUAGUCCACGCCCUAAACGAUGUCAACUGGUUGUUGGGGAUUGAUUUUCUCAGUAACGAAGCUAACGCGUGAAGUUGACCGCCUGGGGAGUACGGCCGCAAGGUUAAAACUCAAAGGAAUUGACGGGG